RNAcentral lists this transfer RNA (60 nucleotides) under Aphanomyces invadans. It matches the Rfam family "tRNA", at positions 8 to 63 of the family's 71-position model. Rfam says of the family: Transfer RNA (tRNA) molecules are approximately 80 nucleotides in length. Lineage: Eukaryota; Oomycota; Saprolegniomycetes; Saprolegniales; Verrucalvaceae. The record is from Rfam by way of RNAcentral.
UAGCUCAGUGGUUAGAGCGUCUGUCUUGUAAAACCCGAAGGUCCCCGGUUCGAUUCCGGG